UUUUAAAAGACAAUAGCGAUAUUGGAGAAGAUAAUAGUAAUAUCAGUCAUCAUUUAUUGAUUACUUACUGGCACUUCAUAUGGAUUAUUUCAUUUCAUCUCCCCAAGAACCCUGUGAGGGAAGAACUAGGGAAACUGAGUCUCACGGAGGUUAAGUAACUGGCCUAAAGAAUUGCCAAGGUGGAACUAGGAAUUAAACUGUGCUCUACUGGACUCCACAUCACAAUUUCUACACUGCUGUGCUAACCUCUCAACUGCUCCACAAUCCACAAUUUUGCUGGCAAUAUCUAGGCUUAUUAUUUAAAGCAACAAAGAUCAAAACAAGCCUUCUUGGAUCCAGAAUAAAUGCCUCACUGUGUAUCCAUUCAUUUAUCAGUGAUUAACAUGAUAGCUCCUAAGUUCACAGAGCUAACACUAAAUUCUCUCCCAUGGUAUGGAAGGUGGGGAAUCAGUAAUUCUUUGAGAUAAAAGGCAUCCCUGAGCUGAGUUUCAAAGUCCAUGGCCCUCUUCCCUGGAUCUUUUCCCCAACAGUCUCACUGUCUCUCCCACCUCACAUGCAUAUACUUGUUUUCCUUCCUUUGGGGCCCAGGUCCUGUCCAGAUUUCUCAUCACCACUCUAUCUGCAAAUCCAGAGAUGUACCACGAACUGCUUCAGCACAACUGUUUCACCGGGGUCUACUCUGUGCCACUUCCAAAAUAAUAAAAUUGAAGCCAGGCUCUCUGGGGAAGCCAUUGCCACCUUAUAUUGUUCAGGUAGGAGACCAUAGUAAUGAUUAUGACAGCUAUUAUUCAGUGAGCUUUUACAGUUGUUUAUCUAAAUUGCUAACAUAGACGUAGGCAAGAAGGAAAGUUCAGCAUUCUCUAAAUGCACCCCAAGGAUAAUCUCACAUUAUUGCUUUUAUUUCCCCUUCAAUAUUCUUCUGGAAUACAGAACGUAGACACAGCAAUGAGGGAAGGAGAUGCUGACAAUUUUGCAGAAUAUUUCUUUAAUGUAGUUCAAGUUUCAAACAUGGAGAAUGCAAAGAAAUAUAUUUGCUAUUAGAAAGAUAUAUGCAAAAUACAGACAACUGUUUUCAAUGCACCAUAAUGUGUUCUGUACUUGACUAAAAAAAUACACUAAAGAGGGAAGUCUAAGCCACUAGUCAGCUGCUUGGGUAUUGAUUAUCAUAAAUACUGUAGUGUGAUUCCCAGAUGGUGUGACUGAGUUCACAGUAUGGGCAUAGGUAGCAAUACUAAGAUAGUAGGACAAAUGCUUGUGUCUAGGAUUUUAUUACAUAAAAGCAGGCUCAAAUUAGCAGCAGUUAUAAAAUUACCAUUACUCAUUUUAAGAUAGUCCUUUGCUUUCAUGCCUUUCUUGCCUUUUUUUUAACAUUGGUCAAAAGGAAAUAGUAACCUCUCAACCUGAAUGAAACAAAUAGUAGUAUUUACUUUAACUAUUGUAUAUUCUGAAAUUAACUCCAUUUUUUUAAAGAUAAUGUUUAUUGUAGAGUUCUAUGUUUUGUUUUUUGUUUGCCUAUCUAGUUUUACUACUUAUUAUUUAACAGGGUGUGGAAGUUAGCCUCAUUCAUUGAGC
Long non-coding RNA from Callithrix jacchus (white-tufted-ear marmoset), 1572 nucleotides. Lineage: Eukaryota; Metazoa; Chordata; Mammalia; Primates; Cebidae. The record is from Ensembl.